CCGGUCCUCUGAGUUAAUAGGGAAUCCAGUGCAAAUCUGGAGCUGACGCGCAGCGGUAAGGAAAGGUGGGAUAAGCGCAUUAUGCAGACACUGCUGAUCGUUGGCGGGAAGUCCUUGUCCAUAACACACCCCGAGCCCGAAGACCUGCCGGAUACG
Molecule: non-coding RNA, 156 nt
Filed under: uncultured Klebsiella sp.
Lineage: Bacteria; Pseudomonadati; Pseudomonadota; Gammaproteobacteria; Enterobacterales; Enterobacteriaceae
Source: RNAcentral